AUGCCUGUAAUCGCAGAACUUGGCAGACAAAAUCAGAAGUCCAGUUAUCAGAGUGAUCCAACUCAAUUGACAAUCUAUACCUCCCAAAAUAAUGCUCAGGCCCCUCUGUAGGAACAGAGAUUCAUGCAAACUCAGUAGUACCCAGCUCUAUCUCUUCAUUACCCCAAAGGGACCUGACUCAAGCUGAGAAUGGCUUCAGUUUUGUGCAGGCCACACAGUCACAGAUCACACAAUCUUCUGAAGGUGCUAUGGGCUCUGCGGUGAAUCCUGACUCACCUUUCACUUCUAGUAUUCCCCCCGCCCAAUGAAACAGUUAUCUGCAACUCCCUUACAGAUGACAACCAAUCAGCAUUCAUCCCCCAUGGCUUGAGUCACCAUACAACACAGCAGAGUGUUAUCCAUGGCAGAAUACCCCUUUAGCAUAUACAUCUUCUGGGAGCACUUUGACAUCCAUUCUUUUGCUCACAAGUGUGGAGAAUGAGGCAGAUUUCUAUUCUUCUUCUAGCACUUUCUUAACCAUGUCCAGCGCAGUCUCUAUACCUCCCCCAGUGAUCAAUGUCUUCUGUAGUCUGAAUAGUGGCAGUAGUCUGGGCCUUAGCCCAGCAACUCUACUGUCAUGGUCUCAACUCAAAGUCCAGUUGCUAUGACUUCAGGAAAAGCUCGGGUUCUGCAACUGUUCCCUGUUCCAUGUAUUAUGGUUCUGAGGGUGUUACAUGCCUCCAUGACACAAGUAGAUGGUUACAAUGACUUACAGAUGCUUCAGACAGGAUUUCCAUUGGAUUACUGCAGUAUCCCAUUUCCCAUACCCACAACUCCACUGACUGGGAGGGAUGGUGGCCUGGCCAGCAACCCUUAUUCUGGUGACCUCACCAAGUUUGGCUGUGGGGAUGCCUUCUCUCCAGCCCCAGCUACAACCUUUGCCCAACCUAGCAGAACCAGAUGCAUACUCCCCAUACCAUGCAGCAGACAUCCCUGAACCAGGUGCUGCCUCCUGGCUACACUUACAUCAGCCUGACAUACCACACAUGGGUCCCCAGCCUCCCCCAGCACCUUCCAGUAUGAGCCUGCUGUGUUCCCUGUGCCUCCUACCUCUUCCAAGCAGUGUGGUGUAAAUGUCAUUUUGAAUGUCUCAACCACCCCUUUCCAACAGCCAGGUGGCUAUGAGUCUCAUGGAUACGACACUGGAAGAAAAUAUCUAUUCCCUUACAAGCAUUUCUAG
Nannospalax galili (Upper Galilee mountains blind mole rat) is the source of this 1219-nucleotide RNA transcript. It is a transcript of the gene named ubiquitin-associated protein 2-like pseudogene, with no coding region annotated. The transcript is spliced from 2 exons. NCBI's taxonomy places the organism in Eukaryota, Metazoa, Chordata, Mammalia, Rodentia, Spalacidae. The record is from RefSeq and is a predicted model, not a curated record.